Molecule: long non-coding RNA, 696 nt
Filed under: Gallus gallus (chicken)
Lineage: Eukaryota; Metazoa; Chordata; Aves; Galliformes; Phasianidae
Source: RNAcentral
CUGCUGUUGCUGUUUGACUGCAUGAAGCAUAUCAUGUCCUGGAUGAAGAGCUACAUUCAUACACUGCAGAAGGGCAUCUGCUGCAUUAGUGCAGGCCUCAAUGCCUCGAGAAGAUGUCAGAUCUCCUUCCUGAAGGGCCUUUAUGUGACCUUUAGCCAAAUCCAUGUGAUUCACUAAGAACUCUAUCUCUGACAGUAGUUUCACAUUAUUUGUGUAGCUGAGAUGGAUUAGGUAGUUACUUUCUGAAAUUUGAUCCAUUUGUUCUUUUACACUCUGAAGCAUUUCUUCAUAACUGCUUAAUUUUAUCUCAAUUUGGUCAACUUCCUUUAGAGCUUCAUCCAGCAACUUCAUCAAGAUAUUCACCUGUUUCUCUGAGGCCAUAAUUGACUGGAUAUUUGCCCCAUCUAGAACUUGCAGCUCUCUAGACAAUUUCUCUGCAAAGGCUUCAGCAUUAGAGAUCGCGUAUUCACACCCUUCCAUCAUUAUUUCAAUAUCCUGUUCUUCUCUUGCAUUUAAUUCCUGGUAUUCAUCCACCGCCUCUUCAUCACCUCCUGCUACACUUUGAUUCUCUCCACUUGGAACUGAUUCUUCCAAAAGUUGUGAACUAACAUUAAUAAAGUCAAUUUUUUUUCUAAGGUAUCUCUGAUUGAGUUUCCAGAUACAUGAAAUGAAGGUGUUCUUCUCCACUGCGCUGCU